AGUGACUUUGUUCAACGGCCGCGGUAUCCUAACCGUGCGAAGGUAGCGUAAYCAYUUGUCCUUUAAAUGAGGACUGGUAUGAAUGGCCACACGAAAGCUAUACUGUCUCCUUUUUCUAAUCAGUCAAACUAAUCUUCCCGUGAAGAAGCGGGAAUAAACCUAUAAGACGAGAAGACCCUAUGGAGCUUCAAACAACCAGGACAUUUGAUUUCACUAUACCUAUAUUAAACUAUUCUUAUUGUCCUUAGUUUUGGGUUGGGGUGACCACGGAGCAUAAACUAACCUCCAUGAUGAAUGAAUUUUUCUAUCCUUAGCUAAAAGCCACAUCUUAAUGCACCAAUAAACUGACUCUUAUUGACCCAAUAAUUUGAUCAACGAACCAAGUUACCCUAGGGAUAACAGCGCAAUCCACUUCAAGAGCUCUUAUCGACAAGUGGGCUUACGACCUCGAUGUUGGAUCAGGGUACCCCAGUGGUGCAGCCGCUACUAACGGUUCGUUUGUUCAACGAUUAAAACCCUACGUGAUCUGAGUUCAGACCGA
Molecule: ribosomal RNA, 541 nt
Filed under: Dryadobates olfersioides
Lineage: Eukaryota; Metazoa; Chordata; Amphibia; Anura; Aromobatidae
Description: partial large subunit ribosomal RNA
Source: RNAcentral